AAAGCGGGAGCCGUAAAGCUUAAAGAGUAGGCA
This 33-nucleotide non-coding RNA is filed under the name unclassified sequences. RNAcentral describes it as "DUF805b RNA". It matches the Rfam family "DUF805b RNA". Rfam says of the family: Bacteroidetes, Chlorobi (1 example), Proteobacteria. Lineage (Flavobacteria) The record is from RNAcentral.